GAAAAUGAAAUUCUGCAGCAAACAGCAUCAUCGAGGAAAGAAAGUUUAUGAUCUCUGAAACCUCUGCCGAAACUCCAUGAGGCUCCACAGUAUAAAUCACACCAUGAUUAUCUUCUGGAAGAAAUGCAGUGGAUGGCAACAGAUUUUUUUUCCAAGAAAGAAAAUGAAAGAUGAUAGCUGUUGAAAGAGUAAUGUGAAUUUGAUCUUUUCAACCAGAAAAUAAUAGGCAGCAUUUUCAUGGUUAGGAUGUGAUCAUUGAGGAUCUGUGAGUUUGGGGUUGCCUCUUCACUGUUUGUAAACUUUAAACAGUACUAAAGGGAUUGUAAUUAUUUUUCUUUCUUUAGGAAUGUGUUUUUUAGAUAAAAUCAAGUAAAAACUUAAAAUAACUUUAUGGUUUUAUUUUAGGGUUAAUGUGUCAAGGUGGGAAUAGAUGAGUCUGGAAUGCCAGUUCUACAAAGACAAAUUAUUUAAUUGUGAGCAAUGAAUUAACUGCAGAGCUUGUCAUUUGAGGGUGCUGCCCUGUCUGUGACUCCUGGUAACAUGAGCAUAAUGCUCUAUUUCCAUGCUGUGGGCUCUUGGAACCUUUUAAAGUAACAGCAGCUGCUCUCUGCAGUGUCACAUGACACGUGGCUCUUCCAGUUCCUCUUUAAUUCUGCCAUCAGCUGGGAGCUUUUUCAUCAUUCUCAGACACUGUGCUAUUAUUGCGAUUUUUAUUUUAACUGCAGUGGAAUAGUAGUAAAAUAUUUCUUUACUUUGUGUGGGUUUUUUUUUCUUUUGCUAUUACUUAAGGACACAGACUGGUCUCUCUCUGAUGUGAUUGGGAUGGAAAACCAAAUUACUUGCUACAAAGCACAAAUGCUGCCAAAACUGAAGGUAAUUGAAAACCUUAUUGAAGAGUUCUCCUACUCCCCUUCAUCACCCAGACUUGAGCCAGAGAAGGUCAAACCAAACAGAACCCCUGUGUAUGGCAGAGACCUGUUGGAAACUUGCUCUUGGAUCAAUGAAAGAAAAAUCUCUCAGCAUUGUUCUGCCAGGAUUAACAAGUGGUGCUGGGCUGGCUUUGCAAAUUGCCUCCCAUACUCCAGCACUUCAGAGGCUCUGAGGAUCCAUUGCAGGAACUCAUUCUGA
RNAcentral lists this long non-coding RNA (1128 nucleotides) under Lonchura striata (white-rumped munia). RNAcentral describes it as "domestica (Bengalese finch) lncRNA (ENSLSDG00000012607.1)". The record is from RNAcentral. Lineage: Eukaryota; Metazoa; Chordata; Aves; Passeriformes; Estrildidae.